Molecule: ribosomal RNA, 495 nt
Filed under: uncultured bacterium
Lineage: Bacteria
Description: partial 16S ribosomal RNA
Rfam family: Bacterial small subunit ribosomal RNA
Source: RNAcentral
GAUGAACGCUGGCGGCGUGCCUAAUACAUGCAAGUAGAACGCUGAAGGAGGAGCUUGCUCUUCUGGAUGAGUUGCGAACGGGUGAGUAACGCGUAGGUAACCUGCCUGGUAGCGGGGGAUAACUAUUGGAAACGAUAGCUAAUACCGCAUGACAACAGCUAUUGCAUGAUAACUGUUUAAAAGGGGCAACUGCUCCACUACCAGAUGGACCUGCGUUGUAUUAGAUAGUUGUAUAGGUAACGGCUCACCAAGGCGACGAUACAUAGCCGACCUGAGAGGGUGAUCGGCCACAAUGUGACUGAGACACGGCCCAGACUCCUACGGGAGGCAGCAGAAGGGAAGCUUCGGCAAUGGACGGAAGUCUGACCGAGCAACGCCGCGUGAGUGAAGAAGGUUUUCGGAUCGUAAGGCUCUGUUGUAAGGGAAGAACGAGUGUGAGAGUGGAAAGUUCACACUGUGACGGUAACUAACCAGAAAGGGACGGCUAACUACGUG